AUUUUACUCCCUCCGAUCCAUAUUAAUUGUCAAAAUUACAUGUAUCUAGACGUUUUUUAGGCAUAGAUACAUCCAUAUUUGGUCAAAUUUGAGACAAUUAAUAUGGAUCGGAGGGAGUAUUAG
Non-coding RNA from Brachypodium distachyon (stiff brome), 123 nucleotides. Lineage: Eukaryota; Viridiplantae; Streptophyta; Magnoliopsida; Poales; Poaceae. The record is from Rfam.